Molecule: ribosomal RNA, 495 nt
Filed under: uncultured bacterium
Lineage: Bacteria
Description: partial 16S ribosomal RNA
Rfam family: Bacterial small subunit ribosomal RNA
Source: RNAcentral
GACGAACGCUGGCGGCGUGCCUAAUACAUGCAAGUAGAACGCUGAAGGAGGAGCUUGCUUCUCUGGAUGAGUUGCGAACGGGUGAGUAACGCGUAGGUAACCUGCCUGGUAGCGGGGGAUAACUAUUGGAAACGAUAGCUAAUACCGCAUAAGAGUAGAUGUUGCAUGACAUUUGCUUAAAAGGUGCAAUUGCAUCACUACCAGAUGGACCUGCGUUGUAUUAGCUAGUUGGUGGGGUAACGGCUCACCAAGGCGACGAUACAUAGCCGACCUGAGAGGGUGAUCGGCCACACUGGGACUGAGACACGGCCCAGACUCCUACGGGAGGCAGCAGUAGGGAAUCUUCGGCAAUGGACGGAAGUCUGACCGAGCAACGCCGCGUGAGUGAAGAAGGUUUUCGGAUCGUAAAGCUCUGUUGUAAGAGAAGAACGAGUGUGAGAGUGGAAAGUUCACACUGUGACGGUAUCUUACCAGAAAGGGGCGGCUAACUACGUG